UGGGGAAUAUUGCACAAUGGGCGCAAGCCUGAUGCAGCCAUGCCGCGUGUGUGAAGAAGGCCUUCGGGUUGUAAAGCACUUUCAGCGGGGAGGAAGGUGGUAAGGUUAAUAACCUUGGCAAUUGACGUUACCGACAGAAGAAGCACCGGCUAACUCCGUGCCAGCAGCCGCGGUAAUACGGAGGGUGCAAGCGUUAAUCGGAAUUACUGGGCGUAAAGCGCACGCAGGCGGUUGAUUGAGUCAGAUGUGAAAUCCCCGGGCUUAACCCGGGAAUUGCAUCUGAUACUGGUCAGCUAGAGUCUUGUAGAGGGGGGUAGAAUUCCAUGUGUAGCGGUGAAAUGCGUAGAGAUGUGGAGGAAUACCGGUGGCGAAGGCGGCCCCCUGGACAAAGACUGACGCUCAGGUGCGAAAGCGUGGGGAGCAAACAGG
RNAcentral lists this ribosomal RNA (429 nucleotides) under Chloroflexota bacterium. RNAcentral describes it as "Chloroflexi bacterium partial 16S ribosomal RNA". It matches the Rfam family "Bacterial small subunit ribosomal RNA", at positions 355 to 776 of the family's 1533-position model. The record is from RNAcentral. Lineage: Bacteria; Bacillati; Chloroflexota.